Molecule: small nuclear RNA, 165 nt
Filed under: Dasypus novemcinctus (nine-banded armadillo)
Lineage: Eukaryota; Metazoa; Chordata; Mammalia; Cingulata; Dasypodidae
Description: U1 spliceosomal RNA (ENSDNOG00000047580.1)
Rfam family: U1 spliceosomal RNA
About the family: U1 is a small nuclear RNA (snRNA) component of the spliceosome (involved in pre-mRNA splicing). Its 5' end forms complementary base pairs with the 5' splice junction, thus defining the 5' donor site of an intron. There are significant differences in sequence and secondary structure between metazoan and yeast U1 snRNAs, the latter being much longer (568 nucleotides as compared to 164 nucleotides in human).
Source: RNAcentral
AUACUUAGCUGGCAGGAGAGAUACCAUGAUCACAAAGGUGUUAUUUCCAGGGCAAGGCAGAUCCAUUGCACUUAGGGGCUACUGACCCCUGUGAUUUUCCCACAUAGGGGAAACCCUACAGCAUAAUUUGUGUUAGUGGGGGGGUCGUGUCUGCACUUUCCCCUG